GUGGGGAAUAUUGGACAAUGGGCGAAAGCCUGAUCCAGCCAUGCCGCGUGUGUGAAGAAGGUCUUCGGAUUGUAAAGCACUUUAAGUUGGGAGGAAGGGCAGUAAGUUAAUACCUUGCUGUUUUGACGUUACCGACAGAAUAAGCACCGGCUAACUUCGUGCCAGCAGCCGCGGUAAUACGAAGGGUGCAAGCGUUAAUCGGAAUUACUGGGCGUAAAGCGCGCGUAGGUGGUUUUGUAAGUUGGAGGUGAAAUCCCCGGGCUCAACCUGGGAACUGCAUACAAAACUGCAUGACUAGAGUACGGUAGAGGGUAGUGGAAUUUCCUGUGUAGCGGUGAAAUGCGUAGAUAUAGGAAGGAACACCAGUGGCGAAGGCGACUACCUGGACUGAUACUGACACUGAGGUGCGAAAGCGUGGGGAGCAAACAGGAUUAGAUACCCCAGUAGUCC
Molecule: ribosomal RNA, 450 nt
Filed under: uncultured bacterium
Lineage: Bacteria
Description: partial 16S ribosomal RNA
Rfam family: Bacterial small subunit ribosomal RNA
Source: RNAcentral